UACGUAGGGUGCUAGCGUUAUCCGGAAUCACUGGGCGUAAAGCGUGCGUAGGCGGCUUGUUAAGUGAGAUGUGAAACCGUGUGGCUCAACCAUAUCGUUGCAUUUUCAUACUGGCAGGCUAGAGGACGGCAGAGGCAAGUGGAAUUGGUAGUGUAGCAGUGAAAAUGCGUAGAUAUUACCAGGAACACCAAUGGCGAAGGCAGCUUGCUGGGCCGACCCCUGA
This 223-nucleotide ribosomal RNA is filed under the name uncultured bacterium. RNAcentral describes it as "partial 16S ribosomal RNA". It matches the Rfam family "Bacterial small subunit ribosomal RNA", at positions 524 to 743 of the family's 1533-position model. The record is from RNAcentral.